This 660-nucleotide ribosomal RNA is filed under the name uncultured Actinomycetes bacterium. RNAcentral's name for it is "SSU rRNA". It matches the Rfam family "Bacterial small subunit ribosomal RNA", at positions 245 to 915 of the family's 1533-position model. The record is from RNAcentral. Lineage: Bacteria; Bacillati; Actinomycetota; Actinomycetes.
CUUGUUGGCGGGGUAACGGCCCACCAAGGCGACGACGGGUAGCUGGUCUGAGAGGACGACCAGCCACACUGGAACUGAGACACGGUCCAGACUCCUACGGGAGGCAGCAGUGGGGAAUCUUGCGCAAUGGGCGAAAGCCUGACGCAGCGACGCCGCGUGGGGGAUGAAGGCCCUCGGGUUGUAAACCCCUUUCGGCAGGGACGAAGCGAACGUGACGGUACCUGCAGAAGAAGUCCCGGCUAACUACGUGCCAGCAGCCGCGGUAAGACGUAGGGGACGAGCGUUGUCCGGAUUCAUUGGGCGUAAAGAGCGCGUAGGCGGCUGCGCAAGUCGGAUGUGAAAAUCCGGGGCUCAACCCCGGACCUGCAUCCGAUACUGCGCGGCUAGAGGUAGGUAGGGGAGAUCGGAAUUCCUGGUGUAGCGGUGAAAUGCGCAGAUAUCAGGAGGAACACCGGUGGCGAAGGCGGAUCUCUGGGCCUUACCUGACGCUCAGGCGCGAAAGCUAGGGGAGCGAACAGGAUUAGAUACCCUGGUAGUCCUAGCCGUAAACGUUGGGUGCUAGGUGUGGGUGGACAUCGACCCCAUCCGUGCCGAAGCUAACGCAUUAAGCACCCCGCCUGGGGAGUACGGCCGCAAGGCUAAAACUCAAAGGAAUUGACG